This 7903-nucleotide long non-coding RNA is filed under the name Triticum aestivum (bread wheat). RNAcentral's name for it is "long non-coding RNA (TAES_LNC014442)". Lineage: Eukaryota; Viridiplantae; Streptophyta; Magnoliopsida; Poales; Poaceae. The record is from RNAcentral.
GGUUGGAGCAAGAUCAAGGAAUGGCAGCAGAAUCCAGAUCUGCCAUGCCCAUAGUUUGUUUCUUCUGUUCAUCUGGUCCCUGUCAACAUCCUCAUGAGCAAUGAUCCAUUCAGUUUGCUUGGAAUUUUUUUGUUGUGUAUGGAGUAGUAUAUCUUGAUAAUCUAGUAUUCCAUAUAUGUGUGGGAUGAUUUAAGGAAUUGAUUCCAUAUAUAUAUGUGUGUAUGUUGUUGUAUUUGUAAACAAAGAACGUCUGUUGAUUUUAUCCGAAAGAGACAUGCUUCUCUUGUUUGCUUCAAACAAUAUGACCAGUUUACCAAACAUCAUUUCACUCAGCCCGUGACGCCUCAUGCAACCUACCAAACACAUAUUCACCUUGGCCAGUCCCAGCACACACAAGCAACCAAACACACAUCUCAAUGUACAAUUGCAUUAGUCCAGCCAGGCCACACUCAGCCAGCAUGCUAGAUGCGAUGUAGCCAAAUGUGACCCGGGCAACCAAACACGCCCAUAGAAUGCAGCGUAUAUGCAGAUCUGACGAUAAAAUUGCAGAUGACGCUGGAGUAAAUCCGGAUAAGCAACAGCUCCUACGCCAGCUGAAGGCCGGUGAGAGCGUGCUUACGAGGGUGAGGCAGGAGAAGAAUGAUCUCCUAGAUGCCAACACCAAGCUGGGCGUGGAACUAAAAGAUGUUCGUGCCCAACUGUUGGACUUUGUUAAGGAGAAUCGGCGGCUUCGACACGGCAUAUUUAGUAAGUGCUUGAAUGAACUUUGAAAAAGAGUUCAACGAGGAAGUUGGCUGACAGAGUUAUGUCUGUAGGUAAUCUAACAGGUCGUCCUGCUGAGGAAAUGCCCGGUUCAACGGGUGACCUUCUUCCUGAGCUCUCACAGCUGCACGAACGAGCUCGGCAGGUGAUGCAAGGUGUUGCCUAGGCCUUGUGGCCAUCCGUCUCCAUACCCGAAGGCCUUGGAGAGCUUGCAGAAAAGCUGAAGGGAGAGCGGCGGUGCUUCCGAUUAUGGAAGAUAUCGGCCUGCCAUCAGGGCGCCAGGGAAGCCUGGGCAAUGGUGAAGACACGGUACACGAAGGCUGACCCGAACCACAUGGCCGAAGUCGGACUUGUGGGGCCUGAUGGGAAGGAGAUCCCUGUGAGCUUAGUGUACGGCCAAGUAGAAUUGGCCGCAAAGUAUUCCCAACAGGACUGUAGGCUAGACAGCCUACUGGAUGGUAUUGAAGAGGAAUUCAACCAGUCAAAUUGACUAUGUAAUAUUAAAGUGACAUGUAUAAUGCCUUCUAGCCGGAUUGUAGAUCAUUUGUCGUGGCGGACCUUUUCGCUUCAACCUCGGGACCCGACGGUCCGGAGUGUAUCCGAAUACCCUCUCGGUUAUGUAAGAACCGGGCAUGCAUGGAGACCAGGCGUAGGGGUCAUUAGUGCUUUAUCAGAUAAGUGCCCAACUAUUUAUGUUAUAUUACAUGGUUAGUAAGAAACAUCUUCCAGGGAGAAUAGUUCCCUUAAGGGUUCCUUUCACUGGGUAAGCAUGCCCUAAAGUGCAUGUCCGGACUGCGAUAAGAAGCACAGAAAAAUCAUCUGGGGGUAGAUAUGGAUAAUAAAUAAAAGUCAUCUUUUGUUCACCGACCGAAUAUUCCCUUAAGAACGCUAGCUUUCGGCUUCACCCAGUCUGAGGUACACGUCCGGCUGACCCGGCGGUAACAAUCGCAGAGGUGCUCCCCUUAUGCCCCAGCCGAAUUAACGGGAACGUAGGGCAUAAAUACAAGAGCCAGGCAACCCAGCUUGGCCAAAACUUAAGUCAUAUCAAUGCAUAUAAUGGUGAAAAAAGGUACAUGCGGAAGUAUAACACAUGUGUUGGGCGUGAGGCCCAGGUAAAUAAUUUAAGCUUCUAUGAAGAAGCCCCCAGGUAUGAAGAGUGCGGCUAGCGCAUCUGUAAUGUACGAGUGAGGCACAAGGUGACCCUUGAAGGCCUAGAGAAAGAAAAGAAAGAAAGGGAAACAAGACAGAUGAUGCAUAUGCAGAAAAUGGACCAAGGGAGGGGACUAACAUAGAGUCCGGUGCUAGGCGUAGAAUCUUCGAAGCCUGGCUGCGUUCUAUGGGUUCGGCUCGAGUCGACUAGUCGAUGCAUCCCGCAGUCGGUACGCUCCACCGGUCAGAACUUGGUAGAUAAUGAAGGGACCUUCCCAUUUGGGCUCGAGCUUGUUCUUUUUCUUAUCUGGCAGUCGUAGAACUAGUUCGCCAAUGUUAUAAGUUUUGGCCCGUACUUCUCUGCUUUGGUAUCUGCGAGCCUGUUGCUGGUAAAAUGCAGAACGGGCUUUGGCUACGUCGCGCUCUUCCUCCAAGGUGUCCAGACUGUCCUGCCGAUCGAGCUCGGCUUCUCUUUCUUCGUACAUGCGCACUCGAGGUGAGUCAUGAAUUAUGUCACAGGGCAGGACUGCCUCUCCGCCGUACACCAUAAUAAACGGUGUAUAUCCGGUACUACGAUUCGGCGUGGUCCGCAGCCCCCAGAGUACGGAGUCGAGCUCCUCUACCCUGUGCGUGUCAGACUCCAUUAAGGAGCGCACCUAGCUGGGUUUAAUGCCGCUCAUUAUAAGACCAUUUGCUCGUUCGACUUGACCGUUGGUUUGUGGGUGAUAGACUGAAGCAUAAUCGAGCUUGAUGCCCAUUUUGCUGCACCAGAGUUUUACCUUGUCGGCCAUGAAGUUCGUGCCGUUAUCAGUGAUGAUGCUGUGGGGGACGCCGUAAUGGUGUACAACCCCGGAUAUGAAAUCUAUCACCGGUCCGGAUUCGGCUAUUUUAACCGGUUUAGCCUCUAUCCAUUUGGUGAAUUUAUCCACCAUGACCAAUAAAUAUUUUUUCUUGUGGGUUCCCCCUUUAAGGGGUCCAACCAUGACAAGCCCCCAGACUGCGAAGGGCCAUGUAAUGGGGAUUUUUUGGAGGGCGGUGGGUGGCAUGUGGCUUUGAUUUGCAAAGAGCUGGCAACCGGCGCAACGUUGGACCAAGUCCUGUGCAUCUGCCCGGGCCGUUCGCCAAUAGAAUCCUGUAUGGAAGGCCUUGCUUACAAGAGCCCGGGCUCCGUUGUGAUGACCGCCGAGUCCGGCGUGAAUUUCUGCCAAAAGGUUCCGCCCUUCCUCUUCGGAGAUGCACUUUUGAAGGACUCCGGUAGCGCUUUUCUGUACAAUUCUCUCUCAUGGACCCUGUAGGCCUUGGAUCACCGCACUAUGCAGCGUGCCUCAUUUUGGUCCUCCGGAAGUUCCUGUCUAGUUAGGUAGGCCAGGAAUGGUUCUGUCCACGGGGCAAUAAUGGCCAUUAUUUCGUGGGCUGAAUGUGUUAUUUCGGUGGCGGAGCCUCCGAUUGUGUCAGAGAGUUCGGUAUCGGGUAUUUUGGCCGAGUCCGGACUGUUGUUACCGGUGUCCCCUUCCCAUGCUACGGAUGGCUUGAAGAGCCUUUCCAGGAAUAUGUUGGGAGGGACCGCGUCGCGUUUUGCACCGAUGCGGGCGAGGAUAUCCGCCGCCUGAUUGUUUUCCCGAGCCACAUGGUGAAAUUCGAGCCCCUCGAACCGAGCUGACAUUUUUAGGACGGCAUUGCGAUAAGCUGCCAUUUUCGGAUCCUUGGCAUCAAAGUCUCCAUUUAUUUGGGAUAUCGCGAGGUUCGAAUCCCCGCGCACCUGUAGGCGUUGAAUGCCCAUGGAUACUGCCAUCCGGAGACCAUGUAGAAGGGCCUCAUAUUCGGCUGCGUUGUUGGAGUCCGUAUACAUUAUCUGUAGUACGUAUUGAACUGAAUCUCCUGUUGGGGACGUCAAAACGAUGCCAGCCCCCAGACCAGGCAACAUUUUGGAGCCGUCGAAGUGCAUGAUCUAGUUUGAAUAUGUGUCGUACUCCUUAGGGAGUUCAGCUUUCGUCCACUCGGCGACGAAGUCAGCCAAAACUUGUGAUUUAAUAGCUCACCGUGGCUUGUAAGUUAUGUCGAACGGGAGGAGCUCAAUGGCCCAUUUGGCAAUCCGGCCCGUCGCAUCGCGGUUGUUUAUAAUAUCGUUAAGUGGUACUUCCGAGGCUACCGUUAUCGAACACUCUUGAAAGUAGUGUCGCAGCUUCCGGGAUGCCAUAAAUACCGCGUACGCUAUAUUUUGAUAAUGCGGGUACCGUGAUUUGCAUGGAGUAAGGACAGUGGAGACAUAGUAAACCGGCUUUUGAAGGGGGAAUUUGUGUCCGUCUGAUUCUCGUUCGACGACGAGCACUGCGCUUACUACUUGAUGAGUUGCCGCAAUGUAUAAUAGCAUUGGUUCGCCAAUGUUUGGCGCGGCCAGGACUGGGUUUGUUGCCAAUAUGGCUUUUAUUUCGUUGAGUCCGACCGUGGCGGCAUCCGUCCACUCGAAGUGUUUGGUGUGCCGGAGGAGGCGAUAAAGGGGUAAUGCCUUUUCUCCCAAGUGGGAGAUAAAGCGGCUUAGAGCCGCCACGCAUCCAGUCAAUUUUUGUAUUUGUUUAAGGUCUGUUGGGGUAGCCAACUGUGACAACGCUCGGAUUAUGGCCGUUAACACCGUAUUGUUGUCCACGGGAUGGUGCUCUGUGGUAUUUGGGAGGAGUAGUUCCUCACCACUUUUGGCCACCUGCCGGAGUAUCCAACAUGCUCUAAGGUUGUAUUAUGAAUUUUGUAGGGUCCGUUGAGCCAUCCCUCCAGUACGGUUCCUUGCCCCAUAUAGGGCUUUUGCUUUUUGGUAGUUAACCCAGGUGUAUUGUGAUAAUGCACCCUUUUAUUUCGGACUGGGUUUGUAUUCAGGGCCGGAUUAUCCCAAAAUUUUAUUUCGGUUUUCCAGGCGCUUUCCAUCGCACAGUACUUUCGUACUAUGGACACCAAGUCGGCAAAGCGUGUAAUUUUGCGGCGACUUAUGGCGUUGAGAAUUCCCUUGUUCGUGCAAUUAUUGCAGAAGAAUGAAAUUGCGUCUUCCUCGCGGCAGUCCUUUAUCCUGUUCAUGACCAGGAGGAAUCUGGCCCAGUAAUGGUGUACUGUUUCUUCGGGCUCUUGCCUAAUUUGGGAUAGAUCGCUUAUGUUUGGGUGGGUGGGUGGGUGGAAUUGAACCCGAAUCCUCACCCAAUCUGAGACUUAGGGGCCAAGGAGUUUCCGAACUUGGAAGUUUGGAUUCUUGGAUGUUUUCUAAUAAAUCUAGCCCGCUGCCUGACUCUAGGUUCAGGUCUUGAGUGACGUCCUCCCCUCUACGGGUAUCCGGCUUGGAGGGAUCGGGAAUCCGGACAUUGCUAGUCCUUAAGAUAGAUGAAGGGUUGCCGCAUUGUUCCUCCACCACUGCAACGUGAUGGGUGACCUGGGGAGAGUUGAUCUCUCUCAGAUCGGGUUUAGGCCCAACCUAAUCGUAGUCUGUAGCAACUCCCAGGGCGGCGAUGCGAUCCAAGAGCUCGUUCAGGGAAGAGAGCUCCAUUGGAUCUAACUGCUCGGCGAGUUCUGAGUUAACGUGAAGAUUGCUUUCGAUGACCCGAGAAGUCAUGGUUGGCGCAGCGGCCGAACAGGCAGUCAUAAGAAAACCUCCUAGCCGGAGAGUUUGGCCGAUAGCCAAAGCUCCCUUAGCAACAGUGCCGUCUUUAAAGACGGGAUGAGACAUCCUUCCUGGUGGCGACGGCAUAGCGGAACUCUCAAUGAAAGCACCAAUCUCGGUGUCAAAACCGGCGGAUCUCGGGUAGGGGGUCCCGAACUGUGCCUCUAGGCUGGAUGGUAACAGGAGGCAGGGGACACGAUGUUUUACCCAGGUUCGGGCCCUCUUGAUGGAGGUAAAACCCUACGUCCUGCUUGAUUAAUAUUGAUGAUAUGGGUAGUACAAGAGUAGAUCUACCACGAGAUCAGAGAGGCUAAACCCUAGAAGCUAGCCUAUGGUAUGAUUGUAUGUUGUGAUUGUUGUCCUACGGACUAAAACCCUUCGGUUUAUAUAGACACCGGAGAGGGUUAGGGUUACACAAGCUCGGUUGCAAAGGAGGAGAUAUCCAUAUCCGUAUUGCCUAGCUUGCCUUCCACGCCAAGUAGAGUCCCAUCCGGACACAAGACAAAGUCUUCAAUCUUGUAUCUUCAUAGUCCAAUAGUCCGGCCAAAGGAUAUAGUCCGGCUGUCCGGAGACCCCCUAAUCCAGGACUCCCUCAGUCGUGCCAGGCUUGAUGGCCGUCAACUCGUGUGGGGGCACGUCCUCUUGAUCCAUAGAUUGAUCUGGUCUGGCCGGCACUAUUGGUCAGGUUCUGACGUAGGUCGUACGUGUAACCUGGAGCCGCUGCUUCCUUGCCUUUAUGACAAGGGGCCACGGACUGGUGUUCGGCAUAAUUAGCUGUUUUGUCCCGUCCACGUGGUGGUCGGUCCGGUUGAUCAGCCUGAUUGUAGUUUGACCGUAUUGGCCCGACGGCCUUGUCGUCAAAUUGUGGCAGUAGCCUACAUUUGGGAUAACUUUUUGUUUGGUGCUCAAAGCCAUAUCCUUCUUCAGCGGCUAGGACCUUGGUCCAUCUAUUGUUCAGUGUAUCAUGUUCGGCUUUAAUCUGCUGAUGUUUCUUGUUCAGGCUCCAUGCAGUGGCGAUGAGCCAUCACUUAAAGCAUUCUUGUUCGAGGGGUUCCUCUAGGACGAUCAAUUCUUCGUCACCGAGGCUAACAUCCUCUUCGGAGACAGGUAAGUAGUUACUAUCUUUUGAAUCCUCGUGAUCGGCUUGUUCUUCGGGGCUGUAUUGAACCUCUUCCCUUUCAUCAUGCUCGAACGUAGGCUCAACGGGGUGGUCGAGGUUUUCAGUGUUGUCCAGAGUGUCAUUAUCUCCAGUGUCGGUAUUGCUUUCCCUUCCCUGACGCGAUCAUGAGCGGUGCCGCUGACGCCGGCAUUUUGGUGGUUCAUCGAUGGUCUUAUCCUCAUCUGGAUCUUGAGUGCCAUCCUCGUCCCUCUUCUUAGUGGUAUCCACCAUGUAUAUGUCAUAAGUAGAAGUGGUCGUCCAACGCCCAGUGAUGGGCGGAUUUUGACCUGGAUCGGUUUCGACACCGUCAUCCAUGCCAUCGAUGUCUUCGGAGACAUAGUCUAGCAUGUCAGUUAAAUCCUCGACAGUGGCUAUGAAGUGGGUGGUGGGUUGGACGUAAAAUUCCCUACUCUCAGCCCCCAGUUCAAGCUGGGUGUAGUUUGGAGGUGAUACUUCCGUGAUGGCGAGAGAUUGUAUAAGCUCCAGCGUUUUGUUUAAGAGCGAAAGCCGGUGAUACGUCCCCAACGUAUCUAUAAUUUUUGAUUGUUCGAUGCUAUUAUAUUAUCAACCUUGGAUGUUUUAUAUGCAUUUAUAUACUAUUUUAUAUGAUUUUUGGGACUAACCUAUUAACCCAGAGCCAAGUGCCAGUUUCUGUUUUCCCCUUGUUUCAGUGUUUCGCAGAAAAGGAAUAUCAAACGGAGUCCAAACGGAAUUAAACCUUCGAAAAAGUUAUUUUUGGAAACAAAGCAAUACAGAAGACUUGGAGUGCACGUCAGGGGAUCAACGAGGAAGCCACGAGGCAGGGGGCGCGCCCUCCACCCUCGUGGGCCCCUCGUGGCUCCCCUGAUGUAUUUCUUCCGCCUAUAUAUAUCCAUAUACCCUAAAACGAUCGGGGAGCACAAUAGAUCGGGAGUUCCACCGCCAGAAGCCUCCGUAGCCACCGAAAACCAAUCUAGACCCGUUCCGGCACCAUGCCGGAGGGGGAAUCCCUCUCCGGUGGCCAUCUUCAUCAUCCCGGCACUCUCCAUGACAAGAAGGGUGUAGUUCUCCCUCGGGGCUGAGGGUAUGUACCAGUAGCUAUGUGUUUGAUCUCUCUCUCUCUCUCUCUCUUGUGUUCUUGAUUUGGCACGAUCUUGAUGUAUCGCGAGCUUUGCUAUUAUAGUUGGCUCUUAUGUUCUUGAUUGAGUUUUCCCUUU